RNAcentral lists this ribosomal RNA (1190 nucleotides) under Staphylococcus aureus. RNAcentral's name for it is "bacterial SSU rRNA". It matches the Rfam family "Bacterial small subunit ribosomal RNA", at positions 1 to 1172 of the family's 1533-position model. The record is from RNAcentral. Lineage: Bacteria; Bacillati; Bacillota; Bacilli; Caryophanales; Staphylococcaceae.
UUUAUGGAGAGUUUGAUCCUGGCUCAGGAUGAACGCUGGCGGCGUGCCUAAUACAUGCAAGUCGAGCGAACGGACGAGAAGCUUGCUUCUCUGAUGUUAGCGGCGGACGGGUGAGUAACACGUGGAUAACCUACCUAUAAGACUGGGAUAACUUCGGGAAACCGGAGCUAAUACCGGAUAAUAUUUUGAACCGCAUGGUUCAAAAGUGAAAGACGGUCUUGCUGUCACUUAUAGAUGGAUCCGCGCUGCAUUAGCUAGUUGGUAAGGUAACGGCUUACCAAGGCAACGAUGCAUAGCCGACCUGAGAGGGUGAUCGGCCACACUGGAACUGAGACACGGUCCAGACUCCUACGGGAGGCAGCAGUAGGGAAUCUUCCGCAAUGGGCGAAAGCCUGACGGAGCAACGCCGCGUGAGUGAUGAAGGUCUUCGGAUCGUAAAACUCUGUUAUUAGGGAAGAACAUAUGUGUAAGUAACUGUGCACAUCUUGACGGUACCUAAUCAGAAAGCCACGGCUAACUACGUGCCAGCAGCCGCGGUAAUACGUAGGUGGCAAGCGUUAUCCGGAAUUAUUGGGCGUAAAGCGCGCGUAGGCGGUUUUUUAAGUCUGAUGUGAAAGCCCACGGCUCAACCGUGGAGGGUCAUUGGAAACUGGAAAACUUGAGUGCAGAAGAGGAAAGUGGAAUUCCAUGUGUAGCGGUGAAAUGCGCAGAGAUAUGGAGGAACACCAGUGGCGAAGGCGACUUUCUGGUCUGUAACUGACGCUGAUGUGCGAAAGCGUGGGGAUCAAACAGGAUUAGAUACCCUGGUAGUCCACGCCGUAAACGAUGAGUGCUAAGUGUUAGGGGGUUUCCGCCCCUUAGUGCUGCAGCUAACGCAUUAAGCACUCCGCCUGGGGAGUACGACCGCAAGGUUGAAACUCAAAGGAAUUGACGGGGACCCGCACAAGCGGUGGAGCAUGUGGUUUAAUUCGAAGCAACGCGAAGAACCUUACCAAAUCUUGACAUCCUUUGACAACUCUAGAGAUAGAGCCUUCCCCUUCGGGGGACAAAGUGACAGGUGGUGCAUGGUUGUCGUCAGCUCGUGUCGUGAGAUGUUGGGUUAAGUCCCGCAACGAGCGCAACCCUUAAGCUUAGUUGCCAUCAUUAAGUUGGGCACUCUAAGUUGACUGCCGGUGACAAACCGGAGGAAG